This 1441-nucleotide ribosomal RNA is filed under the name uncultured organism. Its description in RNAcentral is "SSU rRNA". It matches the Rfam family "Bacterial small subunit ribosomal RNA". The record is from RNAcentral.
CGCUAGCUACAGGCUUAACACAUGCAAGUCGAGGGGCAGCAUGGUCUUAGCUUGCUAAGGCCGAUGGCGACCGGCGCACGGGUGAGUAACGCGUAUCCAACCUGCCUUACACUCUUGGACAGCCUUCUGAAAGGGAGAUUAAUACAAGAUGUUAUCAUGAGUAAGCAUUUUCACAUGAUUAAAGGUUUACCGGUGUAAGAUGGGGAUGCGUUCCAUUAGAUAGUAGGCGGGGUAACGGCCCACCUAGUCUUCGAUGGAUAGGGGUUCUGAGAGGAAGGUCCCCCACAUUGGAACUGAGACACGGUCCAAACUCCUACGGGAGGCAGCAGUGAGGAAUAUUGGUCAAUGGACGAGAGUCUGAACCAGCCAAGUAGCGUGAAGGAUGAAGGUUCUAUGGAUUGUAAACUUCUUUUAUACGGGAAUAAACGAAUCCACGUGUGGAUUUUUGCAUGUACCGUAUGAAUAAGGAUCGGCUAACUCCGUGCCAGCAGCCGCGGUAAUACGGAGGAUCCGAGCGUUAUCCGGAUUUAUUGGGUUUAAAGGGAGCGUAGAUGGGUUGUUAAGUCAGUUGUGAAAGUUUGCGGCUCAACCGUAAAAUUGCAAUUGAUACUGGCAGUCUUGAGUACAGUUGAGGUAGGCGGAAUUCGUGGUGUAGCGGUGAAAUGCUUAGAUAUCACGAAGAACUCCGAUUGCGAAGGCAGCUUACUAACCUGUAACUGACAUUGAUGCUCGAAAGUGUGGGUAUCAAACAGGAUUAGAUACCCUGGUAGUCCACACGGUAAACGAUGAAUACUCGCUGUAGGCGAUAUACAGUCUGCGGCCAAGCGAAAGCAUUAAGUAUUCCACCUGGGGAGUACGCCGGCAACGGUGAAACUCAAAGGAAUUGACGGGGGCCCGCACAAGCGGAGGAACAUGUGGUUUAAUUCGAUGAUACGCGAGGAACCUUACCCGGGCUUAAAUUGCAACCGAAUAUGGCGGAAACGCUAUAGCUAGCAAUAGCGGUUGUGAAGGUGCUGCAUGGUUGUCGUCAGCUCGUGCCGUGAGGUGUCGGCUUAAGUGCCAUAACGAGCGCAACCCUUGCCGAUAGUUACUAACAGGUCAUGCUGAGGACUCUGUCGGGACUGCCAUCGUAAGAUGUGAGGAAGGUGGGGAUGACGUCAAAUCAGCACGGCCCUUACGUCCGGGGCUACACACGUGUUACAAUGGGGGGUACAGAGGGCUGCUACCACGCAAGUGGAUGCCAAUCCCAAAAACCUCUCUCAGUUCGGAUUGAAGACUGCAACCCGACUUCAUGAAGCUGGAUUCGCUAGUAAUCGCGCAUCAGCCACGGCGCGGUGAAUACGUUCCCGGGCCUUGUACACACCGCCCGUCAAGCCAUGGGAGCCGGGGGUACCUGAAGUGCGUAACCGCAAGGAGCGCCCUAGGGUAAAACUGGAGACUG